UGGAGAGGCACCCAGCUCCCCUCGGCUUCAGGGGCAGGCGCCCCAAGAAGAUGCUUUCUUGCGACUCUUUUCGGGCCUCAGCUGCCCUCGGCUGGACGCCGUCUCCGAGGGGCCUUCGGUGCACACCCUCCGAGACGUUUUGAGCGGCGGCGUGUAGACAUUUACAUAUAUCUGCAUGUCAUUAGCAUAGAGGCGGGGCCGGAACUUGUUCGGGCAACUAUCCCUGGACGGUUCCCUUUGCUUCUCUCUCAUCCCGCCUGAGGGGCACAUGGGCCGCGCAUGCGAACUUCCAGCCCCUCUAGUGGGACUCGGCACUACUGGGCCUCACCCAGGCAGAGGGAGAGAAAUGAGAACAAUCUCUAAAGAAAUGGACCUGGAGGGACGCCUGCGUGGCUCAGCAGUUGAGUGACUGCCUUUGGCCCAGGUGUGAUCCUAGAGUCCCAGGAUCGAGUCCCACAUCGAGGUCUCUGCAGGGAGCCCGCUUCUCUCUCUGCCUGUCUCUGCCUUUCUCUCUCUCUCUCUGUCUCUCAUGAAUACAUAAAUAAAAUCUUAAAAAGAAAAUAAAGAAAUGGACUU
This 576-nucleotide long non-coding RNA is filed under the name Vulpes vulpes (red fox). Its description in RNAcentral is "lncRNA (ENSVVUG00000015005.1)". The record is from RNAcentral. Lineage: Eukaryota; Metazoa; Chordata; Mammalia; Carnivora; Canidae.